GUAGGCAGCGAGCGUUGUUCGGAGUUACUGGGCGUAAAGCGUGCGUAGGCGGUUCCACAAGUCUGUUGUGAAAUCUCCCGGCUCAACUGGGAGGGUGCGGUGGAAACUGUGGGGCUGGAGUAUGGGAGAGGUAGGCGGAAUUCCUGGUGUAGCGGUGAAAUGCGUAGAUAUCAGGAGGAACACCGGCGGUGUAGACGGCUUACUGGACCAUCACUGACGCUGAGGCACGAAAGCGUGGGGAGCAAACAGGAUUAGAUACCCUGGUAGUCCACGCCCUAAACGAUGCAUACUUGGUGUGGGCAAUUCAUUUUGUCCGUGCCGGAGCUAACGCGUUAAGUAUGCCGCCUGGGGAGUACGGUCGCAAGGCUGAA
RNAcentral lists this ribosomal RNA (371 nucleotides) under uncultured bacterium. RNAcentral's name for it is "bacterial SSU rRNA". It matches the Rfam family "Bacterial small subunit ribosomal RNA", at positions 527 to 898 of the family's 1533-position model. The record is from RNAcentral.